CACAAGUAAAAUGAGAAAAAUAGACAACGAGGCCAAGAAAACCAUAAAAGCAAAGUCAUCGAAGUUAUUUUGCAUGGUCGUUACUUUUAUUUGUACCAAAAAUACACAUAAACAAACAGCAAUGCUUGGAGCAUGAAGUGCAGUCCCAAACUUUCUGGGGAGGAUUCCAAAGAACGUCUAUACAGUGUUCAGCAAAAUGGGAUCUUGAGUAUAUGUCUUGCUCACUUGUGCUACAUUUUUAUAUGAGACUUGGGAGGGAAAUAAAAUUUUCAUCUCCAGAGAUACUUAUAUAGCAGAAACUAUUUACAGCGUAGGCUUGAGAGGAAAGUCAGAACUUUAAAACAGGGUAGAGUAACUGGUUUCCCCUUGAAUGUCCAGACUCAGAUCUAGUAACCCAGCAUUUCACAUCUGAGAAGAAUCAACCAUUAAACUCUGGCUUGAAGGAUGGUCCAGGACUGACACAGCUACUGACAAGAGCUAAUGUAGGAAGGGAUCAUUUUUAAAAAACUCCACAAUAAUUACAAAAAUGGCCUAAAGAUUAGAAUACAUGUAUGUAUGUGCAGCAUCAGUCUUGGGGUUGGAGUUUGCACCAGCAACCAGUCCUGGGUGGUUUGAGCUGUCUUGCUCCUGGAACUUGGCUAUAUUUAUCCUGGCUGAUCCAUGCUGUCAAGUGUGCCCUGCUCUUGAUAAGGUGCAACUGAUGACAAGAGCGAGGGGUCAAGGGGGAGGAGCAGGAUGCGGGACUUCUAGUCAGUAUUUCUUUAGUGGGGUUUCAAAAGUCUUUCAGUCUCAUUCCAGUUUAGCAUGCAUCUUGGUUUCUAGGCACUUCUGGGAGCUUCAAGAGACAAAAGUUCAAGAUGCCAGAGCCUUCAAAGAAAGCAGUUUCUGCGUUUACCAAGAAGCCAAAGACAACAGAGGCAACAACAGGAGGUUCAGCUAUCUUUGAGGCAGAGACAGAAAAAGCUGGCAUCAAGGUGAAGUGGCAGCGAGCUGGUGCUGAAAUUACUGAAAGCAAGAAAUAUAUCAUCAAGUCUGAGGGGAACAAGCAUUCAUUGACUAUCAAUAACAUUGAAAAAGAUGAUGAUGUGACAUAUGCUGUAAUUGCAGGGAGUUCCAAGGUCAAAUUUGAGCUCAAGGUCAAAGAACCAGGUACAGUGCCUCUA
Molecule: long non-coding RNA, 1163 nt
Filed under: Crocodylus porosus (Australian saltwater crocodile)
Lineage: Eukaryota; Metazoa; Chordata; Crocodylia; Crocodylidae
Description: lncRNA (ENSCPRG00005017277.1)
Source: RNAcentral